RNAcentral lists this ribosomal RNA (253 nucleotides) under uncultured bacterium. RNAcentral's name for it is "partial 16S ribosomal RNA". It matches the Rfam family "Bacterial small subunit ribosomal RNA", at positions 524 to 776 of the family's 1533-position model. The record is from RNAcentral.
UACAUAGGGUGCAAGCGUUGUCCGGAAUUAUUGGGCGUAAAGAGCUCGUAGGUGGUUAGUUACGUCGGAUGUGAAAAUCUAGGGCUCAACCCUAGACCUGCAUCCGAUACGGGCUAGCUUGAGUUUGGUAGGGGAGACUGGAAUUCCUGGUGUAGCGGUGGAAUGCGCAGAUAUCAGGAGGAACACCAAUGGCGAAGGCAGGUCUCUGGGCCAUUACUGACACUGAGGAGCGAAAGCGUGGGGAGCGAACAGG